Panicum virgatum (switchgrass) is the source of this 790-nucleotide long non-coding RNA. RefSeq lists it as uncharacterized. The transcript has 2 exons. The record is from RefSeq and is a predicted model, not a curated record. Lineage: Eukaryota; Viridiplantae; Streptophyta; Magnoliopsida; Poales; Poaceae.
AAUUUCUCUUUGCUGAUAACAACCAAUGUCAUUACGGUUACCACGAUUGAAUGCGUAUCGAAUUGGAUCUUUCUGGUUGCAAGCAAUUUGAUUAUGCCUAACAUUAAAUAUUGUGUAUGAAUUAGAUAAUACUUGUAAUGAAUUGCUUCUAUGACAUUGAAGUCAUUGUCUGCAAUUUUGGAAGCCAUGUGUUGUUGCCGUGGAAGCGUGUUGUUAAUGCCUACCACUAUCAUGAGGCCGGCACUGUUUUAUGCCUUUUUCAAGCUGAUGAUAGAGGACUGCUUGCUGCUGUUCGUUAAAUCUUCAUUUGUUAGUUUACAAUAUCAUGAGGAUGCCUCUGAGGAAAUAUCAGGGCUAAUAGCAGAGUUUGUGACCUCUUCUGAAGAAGCAUCUGAUGGUCGAAUUGAGUAGCCAGCCUGUUAUAUGACAUCCUAUGAGUUCACGGCCAUGGUCAAGGAUCAAGAUCUUGGAUUUGAAAAUGCCUUAUGUGCAUACAUAUGGCUCAUUCAAACAAGAAGAUGGCUCUGCCUCGGACAAUUUGGUAGCUCCUGUUGCUAGCAUGAAACACUUACCUAAGUGCAGACAUCAUGUUCAUGUACUAUAUCUUAAGGGAUAGUUUAACAGAUGCAGCCAUAGAACUCUUGUGUUGAUCUUGAAGUUGAUGCAGCGAUGAGUAUUAUUAGUUAAGCCUUUUUGUCAGAGGAGUUUCUGCUUGUGGCAUCUGUACUGAGUUCUGACUUACAUUUGUGUACUUGUUAAAUUGGUAUUAAUCCUUGCUGUCUUGCUUGAA